GCAUGUUUGAAAGGACACUGGCAGAAAACGGAACUAUUGAAAUAGUUGAUAUAGAACCGGAUUAUUUUAAUAUGAUCUUACAGUAAGUUACAUUUUCGCUUUGUUUUGUCUCCAAAAUUUUCCACACGAUAUAUUAGUGUAAACAGUAAAUCUUUGAACCAAAAUUUAGUUGUGUAAACAAAUGUUAUAUCUGUUGAAUGUAUAAUGAAACUUGAUAUUCACAGUAUUAUGCAAUACGGGACACUGGAAAUUAAUAUUGUUACUAUUAUGCAGUUAGGCAGCAUACUGAAAUCAAAUAUGUUUUCUCUAUUUACCCGAGGGUUUCACCAACUCAGUAGUCAGCACUUCGAUGUUGACAUUAAUAUCAAUUAUAUGGUCAUCUUCAUAAAUUACCUGUUAGCAAAAGUAUGGAAUAUUCGAAAUACUAAGGAUUUUUUUAUCCCUUGCAUAAUUUACUGCACACCUAUUUGGCACAACCUUUUGGAAUUUUGGGUCCUCAAUUGUUUACUUGUUUGGUGUUCUAACUAUUUUGAUCUGAGCGUCACAGAGAUAUAUUUGGGCAGGGACUACAAUUAAGAUAAAUAAAUAUUUUUUUGUUUUCCAAACUAUCGAAAAAAGAUACACUAUUAUCAAACAAACCACUCCUAAUCAGAGGAAAGAGUCUUUUGAAUACAUGUUUGCGAUACGUUUCAUAGAGUACUCCUAAUUUAUUCUGUAAAAUCUAUCCGUUACAUGUUUAUAACACAUAAUUAUAAAUGGUGUACAUGUCAAAUUUAAGAAAUCCAUGUGGACUAAGGUACUUCCUUUAAAAUAUAGAUAUCAUUUCCCCCAUUUAUGUAUUUGUUGUAUAAAUACCAAUUACUUACUUAUUGACUGAAUGUGGAAAAAGAAGAGAAAAUUACGUACAGGACGCACAUACUUUCCUUUUAAAUGUUUGUUUCCACAGGUUUAUAUAUACAGACAAGAUUACUGUCGAUUCUAAUAAUGUAAGGAACAUUUUAUAUGGAUCAGAAAAGUAUAUGCUACAACUGUUGAAAGAUGAGUGUAAUGAAUUCCUAGCCUCACAUGUAGAUGUAGAACAUGCAUGUGUUGUUCUGCAAACAGCACAUGACUUCA
Molecule: long non-coding RNA, 1116 nt
Filed under: Mytilus galloprovincialis (Mediterranean mussel)
Lineage: Eukaryota; Metazoa; Mollusca; Bivalvia; Mytilida; Mytilidae
Source: RNAcentral